GACGGGAGCUUGCUCCCUUAGGUCAGCGGCGGACGGGUGAGUAACACGUGGGUAACCUGCCUGUAAGACUGGGAUAACUCCGGGAAACCGGGGCUAAUACCGGAUGCUUGAUUGAACCGCAUGGUUCAAUCAUAAAAGGUGGCUUUUAGCUACCACUUACAGAUGGACCCGCGGCGCAAUAGCUAGUUGGUGAGGUAACGGCUCACCAAGGCGACGAUGCGUAGCCGACCUGAGAGGGUGAUCGGCCACACUGGGACUGAGACACGGCCCAGACUCCUACGGGAGGCAGCAGUAGGGAAUCUUCCGCAAUGGACGAAAGUCUGACGGAGCAACGCCGCGUGAGUGAUGAAGGUUUUCGGAUCGUAAAACUCUGUUGUUAGGGAAGAACAAGUACCGUUCGAAUAGGGCGGCACCUUGACGGUACCUAACCAGAAAGCCACGGCUAACUACGUGCCAGCAGCCGCGGUAAUACGUAGGUGGCAAGCGUAGUCCGGAAUUAUUGGGCGUAAAGCGCGCGCAGGCGGUUUCUUAAGUCUGAUGUGAAAGCCCCCGGCUCAACCGGGGAGGGUCAUUGGAAACUGGGGAACUUGAGUGCAGAAGAGGAGAGUGGAAUUCCACGUGUAGCGGAGAAAUGCGUAGAGAUGUGGAGGAACACCAGUGGCGAAGGCGACUCUCUGGUCUGUAACUGACGCUGAGGCGCGAAAGCGUGGGGAGCGAACAGGAUUAGAUACCCUGGUAGUCCACGCCGUAAACGAUGAGUGCUAAGUGUUAGAGGGUUUCCGCCCUUUAGUGCUGCAGCAAACGCAUUAAGCACUCCGCCUGGGGAGUACGGUCGCAAGACUGAAACUCAAAGGAAUUGACGGGGGCCCGCACAAGCGGUGGAGCAUGUGGUUUAAUUCGAAGCAACGCGAAGAACCUUACCAGGUCUUGACAUCCUCUGACAACCCUAGAGAUAGGGCUUCCCCUUCGGGGGCAGAGUGACAGGUGGUGCAUGGUUGUCGUCAGCUCGUGUCCUGAGAUGUUGGGUUAAGUCCCGCAACGAGCGCAACCCUUGAUCUUAGUUGCCAGCAUUCAGUUGGGCACUCUAAGGUGACUGCCGGUGACAAACCGGAGGAAGGUGGGGAUGACGUCAAAUCAUCAUGCCCCUUAUGACCUGGGCUACCCCCGUGCUACAAUGGGCAGAACAAAGGGCAGCGAAACCCCGAGGCUAACCAAUCCCCAAAUCUGUUCCCAGUUC
This 1237-nucleotide ribosomal RNA is filed under the name Bacillus licheniformis. Its description in RNAcentral is "bacterial SSU rRNA". It matches the Rfam family "Bacterial small subunit ribosomal RNA", at positions 71 to 1294 of the family's 1533-position model. The record is from RNAcentral. Lineage: Bacteria; Bacillati; Bacillota; Bacilli; Caryophanales; Bacillaceae.